RNAcentral lists this transfer RNA (73 nucleotides) under Gemmatimonadaceae bacterium. RNAcentral's name for it is "tRNA-Lys". It matches the Rfam family "tRNA". Rfam says of the family: Transfer RNA (tRNA) molecules are approximately 80 nucleotides in length. Lineage: Bacteria; Pseudomonadati; Gemmatimonadota; Gemmatimonadia; Gemmatimonadales; Gemmatimonadaceae. The record is from RNAcentral.
GACCCGGUAGCUCAGUUGGUAGAGCAACGGACUUUUAAUCCGUAGGUCGCGGGUUCGAGACCCGCCCGGGUUA